This 250-nucleotide long non-coding RNA is filed under the name Equus asinus (donkey). Its description in RNAcentral is "lncRNA (ENSEASG00005034231.1)". Lineage: Eukaryota; Metazoa; Chordata; Mammalia; Perissodactyla; Equidae. The record is from RNAcentral.
CUCCAGCAGAGGAGAAGAGGUGAGCAACACCUCAUUCCUUCCAGGUGUGGGAAAAUGUUCAGACUCCUCAUUCCAGGUGGGGAUCUUUUUCCUGCUGGAGAGGGUAGAAGUGCUGACUUCCCACCAGAGCUCCACCUUCCUUGGAUGGAAGAGAUUUAUAAAUGGAACAAUCGCUAGCAACCAACUCUGUAACAGGCAUUUUUCUAAGGGCUUCACAAUAUUGGCUUUCAUACGUGUUCUUGGAGAUGAC